RNAcentral lists this long non-coding RNA (7347 nucleotides) under Homo sapiens (human). Its description in RNAcentral is "long non-coding RNA NONHSAT222852.1". Lineage: Eukaryota; Metazoa; Chordata; Mammalia; Primates; Hominidae. The record is from RNAcentral.
AGCCCCCAUCCUCUGAGAUCCAUGCAGAACCAUAAAACCCUGAACCAUAAAAACAAAAACAAAAUAAUGAAGUUUUCCUCUCUUCUUGUUUUAUGUCCUUAGGAGCUUGACCUUGUAACCGUGUUCAGAAACUUUGUCUUGGUCAUCUCCACCAUCUGGAGGACAGGAUUUUUGGAAUUCGUGUCAUAGUUAGCUCACAAAAUUAUCUUGAGCAAGUUAAAAGCCAUUUCAAGCUCAAAAUUCACUGCUCUAGCCUCCUUCUGGGAAGAGAAAUGGAAACUGCCCAAUGCUGCAGUUUAGUAGCUAAGGCUUUGUCUUUUUCCAAUGGCAGCAUGGGUUCAGAGUUAAAUUCCUGGCUUAGGGAAUCAGUGCUUUCUGCUUGAUAUCUGUGUGACCUUUGCCAUUUAUUGAUUCUCUGCUCCUCCAUGAACAAUAUCUGACUUUCCUUCUUAAAUUUUUCUUUCUCUAAGCUACUUUGGAGAUUCUAGAUCCUGUAAAAACUGCUAGCCACCUUAUUGAAAAUACCCUGUACACUUGUGGUUAAAUCAUAACCUUAGUUAAGGCUUAUUGAUUUCGCCUGUGAGGUUACUUUUUGUAAAGUUUAAAAGCCAGAAAUAUUGGAUGUAUGGUCUACCUAAAGCAGGGUAAUAAGAUAUUUAAAAGAAUUUAUUUAAAAGCAUGCUAUGAUUAAAAUUCAACUUUUAUUAAAAGCAGAUAUCUAAACCAUGCAUAUAUUUAAAAGGUCUUUAUAUUUUUUUUCUCUUCUUGGAUUGUGUUUUCCUGUAGUAAAGGGUUUUUUUUCUUCUCAAUCAGCUGAAUUGUUUUUCUCCAUUUGUCUUCUUGCCACUCUUGAUGCACAAAUGAAAGGAUCUAAGAUAGUUUCUAACAGCCUGGGACAUCUUGGGAAAAACGGAGAAAGUGAGACAAACCUCAUUUUGGGAAAAACUUCUGUUUUCCUCAGAAAGCCACAGGAAUUGAAAGCAGAUACAUUUCUCUCAAAAUCUAAGGCUCUGUUCUGUUUUGCAUUGCAUUAUCUGAUGUUUAUGACUUUUGUGGAUAUCAGAAAUUACUUCACGUUAUGAGAGCGCUUUAGUGUAUAAUCACUAGGUAGGAAAUAUACUUUUAGGGGUGACUACUUGCAGUUAAGGUGGGAUAUGCAUCUCUUUACACGUUUGGAUCAGAGACGCAUGCUCUUGCCCACAUAGAAGAUAUGGCGAUCUCCUCACUCCCCACUGAGAGGUAAGACUCCCAUGGGAGAUGGACUGAUUCCUUCCUUAUAUGGAAUCCAGGAUCUGGUAUAAAAAUGGGACCCUUAAUUUUCAGGGAUCUGUUUUGCCUUCCAGAUGUGCCUGCCUGCUUAUUAGGCCCUAGAACCUGCAUGCUUUUCUGGCCCUGUUUCUCAAAGGGCUCCACCCUGUAGCCAGUAAUCCAAAUAAGAAACUUAAAAUUAACAAAUGAAAAAUCUUACAACUACUGAAUCUUCUGCCUCUCUGUGUAUUUAUAUGUGUUGCGUGUGUGAUGGUUAUAUAUGAGAGAGCUCUGAAUGAUUGGCUUAAAAAUAAUAAGAGCUUAAAUCAAAUAUUUUUUCAGAAAAAUAAAAACUGUAAUGCAUUUUGUUUCAUGUUACUUAAGUAAUCUUUAAUAAAUAAAGACAGUUUUAAAGAUUAUUGGUAAAAUAAAAAAUCUUCAGAAAUUUAAACAUUUGGUCUAAAUUAGGCAGGUAAGACAUCCAGUUUUCUAAAUGCUUUAAGGUCAUAAUCUGCUUCUGUGACUAUUGAAAAUUGUUCAACUUACCUGUUUGGGAACCAUUUGAUUUUAGGUAAUGCCUGGGCACGUGUGGAGUUAUCCAUUCCCUCUGGCUACACAGGAAAGGGUCAGAGCUCAUCUGCACUUCUGUCUAGUGUCCCAGGCUUUAUACUUAAUAAUUAAAAUCACUUACUUGCCAGGUUUUUCACCAAAAAUAAAAGUUGCUAAGAGUUAACAUUGUAACAUGUAGUUGAGAGUACUGAAGAAACAGUGUUACGCACAAGGUGUGUUGGAAAGUAAAAUGCGUUUUUAGUAAAAGAUUAUAAGAAGGCAUGGAAAUGUGGAUUUUUUUUGCCUAGAUUAAAGGGUUAAGGCUUGUUUUAAGUUAGAUAGGAAAGAUCUCAAGGUUUGCACAAGUUGUGAAAGGUUUGUAAAAAAUUAAUCUUGUAAAAGAAAUUCUGUGUGUGAACAUAUUGGCUAAAGUUAAAAGGGUAUUAUUCAGUUUUCCAGUAAAUUGAAUAUUAGACUAAAACCAUGACAGGUUUUUCUUAGAGAAUUUUUCUGCUUUUUAACAAAAACAUGGUAAAGGGUUAUGAAAAGCUUAUGAGAAUCUUAACUUAUGGUCAGACUGAAUAAAAGUGUAUAGAUUUCUCUAUGAGGUUUUAUUAACAAAUGGGUUUGACAUCAAUAGUACACUAAUGCAAAGGUAAUACCUGGAUUUCUUUCACCUGUAUUUGUAUAAAUGUAUUAUUGGUAUGUGUCCUAAAGUUAUGCAAAACUCCUAUAAUUCUGAUAUGACUUAGUAUAUGUUAUCAGUAAUAAUUAUUGUUAUAUAAGAUUAUUAUGUGCCACAGAAAUAACAAAUUUCCUUGUCAAUUGUGUCUUUGACUGUGGCUGCCCUUAGACAUUUUGUUAUCCACAGACAAUUGUUUUGUUUUAAUUUUAUAAUCAGCUGUAGGCUUAAAUGCAGGUUUCUGAUAACUUUGGAGAUUGUGACAUUAAAAUAGAAGAAAAGCUUUCAGGACUAUCAUGGAGAGCUGAAAUGUUCAUGAAUAUCAAUCAGAACAGGAGUGAACUGCAUGGAGUAAAUGUUCUAGAAGAAUUAAAUAAUCCUUUUGUGAUUUUUUUCCUUAAAAAGUUGCAAAUCCUUUGUUUUUCAAAGCCAAGAAGACUUUUCUUUUGAGCUAUUUAUAGCUUUUAACAAUUGAGUAAAGUAUACUCCUAUAAAAAAUUUUGGAGCAUAUUUCUACCAGAUUUCUCCAAAAUUUGGAAGCCAUUUGUGAGUAUUCUUAACAUAUGGCAAUUUAGUUAUUUGCAUAAGUGCAAUAAGAAUCUGUCUUCUUUUACAACAGACACAAUUGGAGAAACUUGGUUAUUUUAGCAAGGCUUUGACUGGAGUGAUGUGCUUUGAUUCCUUUUUAAGGAAUCGAAUGUGACUUACACAGCCAAUGAAAGCCCCUUGGGAAAACUCACCUUACACUUUGUCUAAACAGUCCCUGUACAGGGUUCCUGACAUGUGGUAAGUAGAGUGUCACUUUCUAACAGGCCCAGGAGCCCUAAGUUUUCUUGGGACCUCAAGAGGGGGGAGAUUUACCCAAGUUAUACAGGUAUUUGAUGGCAUAAACUCAUGAGUGGGCUUAAGGCUUUAAAAAGAGUCUUAUCUGAGAUUCCUUAUCAAAUAAAGUUCCCUCAAAGCCAAUUUAAAAAGAGCCUAUAUGGUAAAUAAUUAUUCUUGCUGUGCUUUAUCCAAAUAAUGAGAUCAUGUAUAAUAAGACUAAAGCUUAUUUUGCAAACAAAUCAGUCUUAUCAUAAUUUGUUUUUAAUAAAAUUGAGGAUUGGAGAGAGAAAAAUUAUGUUUCAAGAACUAUGGUACACCUAUUAUUAUAUUCUAGUCCCAUCAGUUGUUCUUGAAUCUUUGUCUGAAAUUUAGACUAACCUUGCUUAUUCCUCCUAACCAAACAGUGAUCUCUGGCUACAGCUCAGAAGAAACAAAAGGGAUGGGUAAUGUAAAGUUCUAGAUCAAUAUUCUAAUUCUGGAGGUAUAUUGGAAUUGACUAGCAACCUCAUAAACCCCAAGUUCUAGUAGGCAUGACUAUAACCACCAACUACCUAGGCAUGUUGGCAGCCUCAGGAAAUUUUGGAGUCAUCCUCACCCCCUUAUUUUGUUUUAACAUUCUUCUGCUUUUUUUUUUUCUUGAGACAGAGUCUUGCUUUGUCCCCCCAGGCUGGAAUGUAGCAGCACAAUAUUGGCUCAUUGCCACCUCCUCUUCCCAGGUUCAAGUGAUUCUCCCACUUUAGCCUCCUGGAUAGCUGAAACUAUAAGCAUGCACCACCAUGCCUGGCUCACUUUUGUGUUUUUGGUAGAGACAGGGUUUUGCUAUGUUGGCCAGGCUGAUCUCAAACUCCUGGCCUUAAGUGAUAUGCUUGCUUCAGCCUCCCAAAGUGCUAGGACUACAGGCAUAAGCCAUGCCCAGCCUUGUUUUAACAUUCUUCUAAAUCUAAUAACUCAUUUUGUCCCCUCUCACCUUCAGGCCUUCAAGCUCCAGAUAAUCCUCAGUGAGGUAUACUGUCCGCUCAAUAUCCAAGAGUCACCCUUCUACAAGGGACCUCUAGACUGCCCAUAAGUGAGACAUGACAGAGGUAAAGUCAUGCUCCUGUCUCCCUUGGACCUGGCUGGAAACUGCAUUCAUCAACCCAUGGAACCACCCCCCUGCCAUGAAAGCUAGCAAGAGGCCAAGACCCACAGAACAACCACCAUCAUCCCUCUGUCAGCAGGAAGCGGUUACAAAAGACUAACCUUUGCCCAUUUUCCCCAAAGAAUUGGGGUCUUGGAAUCUUGAGGGAGGAAAUGUUACAGUAGGUAGCUAGUCAGACAUGAGCAGAGCAGAAGAGGGCUUACACACACACACACACACACACACACACACACCCCACACACAAAGAAUCCUGGGCAACCAUCAGGCGAUUGUAAGGUGGUUGUUAACUGUGUCUCUAAAAUAACGAUUGGUCACAACCAGUGCAAUGGAAAGGCAGUCUCUCAAUAAACAGAAACACCUGGAGCUGAUGAUCAGCAGCUUCCUGAUCAGGUCUCAGAAGUUUGGCAAGCUGGCCUACACAUGCGCACUAAGAGGCAAAAUGGCACAGUUUAACUGGUAUAUGACUUCCAAUGGACAUUCAGCAUGUAAGGGAAAAAUGCCUCAAGUAAGCAUGCAUACAACUCCACUAAACACACUGUGCAUGCUCCCCUCUCAAGUGCUGGCAGGCCAGUGCACAUGGGGACAGCCCACCCCAAAGAAAGUCUCAAGGGUGUAGGGAUGCAAGACCCCGGGAAUAUGCCAAUGUAUUAAACCCUAAGUCAAAAGGUCAAAUCAUGCACUUGUCUUUCAAGUCACCCACUUGACCCUCUUCCAAGUGUACUUUCCUUCCUUUUGUUACUACUCUAAAGCUUUUUAAUAAAUUUUCACUUUUUGAAUUCUUGUCUGCAACUUAGACUAACCUUGCUUGUUUCUCUGAACCAACCAGUGAUCUCUGGCUCGACUCAGAAGCAACAAAUAGAUGGGUAAUGUAAAAAUAUGGAUUAAUAUUCUAAUUCUGGGGGUACAAAUCUAAAAUUUGCUUCAGUCUCUCCUUCUACCUAUGCCCCUCAGUUAAAUUCUUUCUUCUGAGGAGGCUAGAAUUGAGGUUGCUGCAGACCUGUACCGAUUCACCACCAGUAGCAGGUACUAGAAAGAUUAAGGAGAGGAACAUUCUGGUUAUGAAGGUCCAAUUCUCUUACCAUAUGUUCCAAGUUGUUUUUUUGUUUUGUUUUGUUUUAAUUCUCUGUAGUCCUGGGAACUGCCUCACUCUCAUAUUUGAGUUCUGGGAUAUUGUUGGUGAUAGUCUCUGCAGUGUAUAUUGGUUUUUAUAUUUUGUGGAGGGGGAGUGAAGCCAGUUUGCUUCUAUGCUGCCAUUUUGAAACCCUGCCACAAGUCAUUUAUUCCUGUUGUUGGAAAAUAUUCCAUUGAUUAGGUGUAAUACCAUUUGUUUAUCCAUUCACCUAUUGGGAAAGAUCUUAUUUGCUUCAAGUUUUGGCAAUUGUAAAUAAAACUGCUAUAAAUCUGUGCAGGUUUUUGUGCAGAUAGAAGUUUUCAUCUCAUUUGUGUAAAUGCCAUAGAGUGCAGUUGCUGGAUUGUAUGGUUAGUAAAUUAGUCUAUUUUUAUGCUGCUGAUAAAGACAUACAAGAGACUGGCUAACUUAUAAAGAAGCAGAGGUUUAAUGGACUCACAGUUCCGUGUGGCUGGGGAGGCCUCACAACCAUGGUGGAAAGGGAAAGACAUGUCUUAUAUGGCUGCGGGCAAAAGAGAAUGAGAGCCAAUGAAAGGGGUUUCCCCCUAUAAAACCAUCAGAUCUCAUAAGACUUAUUCACUACCUCGAGAACAGUAUGGGGGAAACUACCCCCAUCAUUCAAUUAUCUCCCACUGGGCCCCUCCACAACAUGUGGAAAUUAUGAGAGCUACAAUUCAAGAUGAGAUUUGGUGGGGACACAGCCAAUCAUAUUAGUAAGAAUAUGCUUACUUCUGUAAAAAGCUGCCAAACUCUCUUCUAAAUUGGCUGUAACUGUUUGCAUUUUCAUUAGUAAUGAAUGAGAGUUUCUGUUGUUCCACAUCCUCUCCAGCAUUUGGUGUAAGCAUUUAGAAUUUUAGACAUUCUACUAGGUGUAUCAUGGUAUCUCCUCGUUGUUUUAAUUUAUAAUUUCCUGAUGACAAAUGAUGUUGAGCAUAUUUUAUAUCAUAUAUAUGUACACACACACACAUUCUUUGGUCAGAUGUCUGUUCAGGUUUUCAGCCCAUAUUUUAAUUGGGUUGUUGCUUUGUUCAGUUUAAAGAGUUAUUCAUACAUUUUAGAGCUCAGUCCUUUAUCAGAUAUGUAUUUUGCAAAGAUUUUCUUCCAAUCUGUGGCUUGUAUUUUCAUUCUCCCAACAGUGUCUUUCACAGAGCAGAAGUUUUUAUUUUUAAUAAAGUACACCUAAUCAAUAUUUUCUUUCAUGUAUUGUGCUUCUGGUGUUGCAUCUAGAAAGUCAUCACCAAACCUAAGGUCACCUAGACUUUCUCCCAUAGUAUCUUCUAUUAGUUUUAUAGUUUUUAGCUUUAAAUUUAGGUUUAUGAUUCAUUUUAAAUUAAUUAUUUUUGAAAUGUUUAAGAUCUGUGUAUAGAAUCUUUUUUGCAUAUGAAUAUCCAGUUGUUCCAGCACCAUUUGUUGAGGAUUGCUUUUUCUUCCUGGAAUUAUCAUUGCUCCUUUGUCACAGAGCAGUUGACUGUGUGGAUCUACACACAAAUUUAAGCCAACAGCUGUUGCAGUUCUAUGUUUAUAAUAAUGUUUAAAUUUUGAAUCCAACUAUUAAUAUGAAUUUUAAGCCACUUCUCUGUCUCUUUUGAUUUGAAUGUGGAGGGUGUCAUUUACUUCAGAAGGUAUGUAAAAGAGAUGUGCAACUUAGAAAAAUCAAAAUAAAUUUUAGCAUAAAUAUUCAACACAGAAUGGAAACAGAAUUUUACUCAUGUAGCUAAAUAUGGAGCCCCUAUCUGACUAUAUUAGAAUAUAUAAUUGUUAACAUUAUUUGCCAAG